ACUCCUACGGGAGGCAGCAGUGGGGAAUAUUGCACAAUGGGCGCAAGCCUGAUGCAGCCAUGCCGCGUGUGUGAAGAAGGCCUUCGGGUUGUAAAGCACUUUCAGCGGGGAGGAAGGCGAUACGGUCAACAACCGUGUUGAUUGACGUUACCCGCAGAAGAAGCACCGGCUAACUCCGUGCCAGCAGCCGCGGUAAUACGGAGGGUGCAAGCGUUAAUCGGAAUUACUGGGCGUAAAGCGCACGCAGGCGGUCUGUCAAGUCGGAUGUGAAAUCCCCGGGCUCAACCUGGGAACUGCAUUCGAAACUGGCAGGCUUGAGUCUUGUAGAGGGGGGUAGAAUUCCAGGUGUAGCGGUGAAAUGCGUAGAGAUCUGGAGGAAUACCGGUGGCGAAGGCGGCCCCCUGGACAAAGACUGACGCUCAGGUGCGAAAGCGUGGGGAGCAAACAGGAUUAGAUACCCCUGUAGUCCCAUGA
This 474-nucleotide ribosomal RNA is filed under the name uncultured organism. Its description in RNAcentral is "partial 16S ribosomal RNA". It matches the Rfam family "Bacterial small subunit ribosomal RNA", at positions 335 to 800 of the family's 1533-position model. The record is from RNAcentral.